CCUGUGAUCCGGGGUUUCCCCAUCUGUGUGGCAGGGAGGCUGGCUUGCAGGAUCGUUCCCAAGAAGCAUCCACCCCGUCAGCUCUCUAACUCUGAGCUUUAACUUUGAUUAGACUUUUGCUGGGAUUUCUCUGGCCCUGCCAGGGCGACAGAGUCGGGAGAUUUUGAGGAACAAAUCAGUCUAAACAACUUUGACAUCUUUUUUUUUCUAGGUGGAAUUAGUAGAUAUGGGGCUUUAAUAAGUUGAUCUGAUGUCUGGGCUCCACCAGGCCAGCACUCCGAAUGGCAUUUUUCACUGUGUCACUUGAUUUUUCUUUGAGUGUGGCUCAGAAUAUAGAUACGGGAGCUGGGUGCAGGAAGAAACCUUCAAAGGCAGGGGUUUUGCAGUCAGGGAACUAAACGCUCCAAGAGAUGGGGGGUAGGGCAUGUCGGGGAGGACCUGUAUUCAUGCCAAGCUGCAGUGUCACCUUUAUUAAUGAUGACGGGGAGAGGGAGUCUGGGGACUGCAGAGGAUGGUCAUCGGCAGGUGUUACUACUUUUCCAAAGGACAGGGAAGUGGGACAAACAGGACUUUAAGAGGUGAGAGGUGAACAAAGGGAGAGAAAGGCAAAAAAAAAAAAAAAAAAAAAAAAAUUGAAUAUGAUGUCAUCUGGAAAAUGGCAAACAGAUGAAUCCAUGAAGUGUCACUCCCAGAGCAGGGAGGAAGCUUCCAGAGAAGGAGCCAGCCUGCCGGGGAGCUGAGGCCUGAAAGGAAGCACAGGCUGGGUUGGCUUUGCAGUGCCCUAGCCAGGGGUCAGCCACAGCUGGCACGUGAGCCCAGGCGUGGACUUCCACUUUCUUCUGGCCCUUUCUGCCCAGAGCCCCCUUUUGUUUUUUCAUGAAAGACAUCAGAUGGAACGCUCUAUCUAGAAGGCUCUUUACCAGAGCUCGUUAAUGUGAACCAUUGGAGUCAGCUUUUUAAACAGUUCUCUGAGUUCAGCUUCGUAGGAUUUUUCUCCUCAUGGGGAUCAGCUUCAUAAAAGCCAGAGCAUGAUGAUUCUGCCAGUUUUUGCUGUGAACAGAUGAAAUAGUACUCCCUUUAUGAAAAUGAAGUGCAAUGACUUCAGGUAGCUUUGUUUCCAGGCAUUCACGGCCGUCCUCAUCGUGAUCCGUUUCCGUGCGCUGUCCUCUUGUGGCCAGCCUGGUUGUUCACUGCUGCUUCCACUGGGUUUUCCCAGCUUCCCUCACUGGGACCAAUGCAGGUGUUCACAGCUUUGCACAUUGGGCUCAGGCCAUGGGUUCAUAGCCGUCUUCAUCAGAGAAAUCCAAGGUGUUCACAACUGUCCUUUCCGGGUGCAGCUGAAGUCGCCCUCACUUGGACCCAGCCCAGGUGUUAAUAGUCGUCCUCAUUGGGGUUAGCCCAGUUGUUCACAGCAUCUUUCUCGGGGUGGGGUUAGGUGUCGAGAGCCAUUCAUCUUGGGCCCAGCCAGCUGUUCAUAGGCAUCCUCAUGGGGGCAGGCUUGGUCUCUCACAGUGGCUCUCACUGAAACCAGGGCAGGUGUUUUUGGCUGUCUUUACUGGAUCCAGACUAGACAUUCAUAGCUGUGCUCAUGCGACCAGCCACAGUGUUUACAGCUGUCUACAUGGCAAUCGUCCCUGGUGCCACAGCUGUCCUUACUGGCUUAGCCCAAGUGUUCUCAGCUGUUCUCUUUGGACCCAGGCCAGGUGUUCACAGCUGUCCUCGCUGGCCCUGCCCAGGUUUUCAUGGCAACUGUCACUGGGCCCAGCUCAGGGGUUCACAGCUAUUUACUUAGGGCCGAGCCCAAACACUCCCAAGUUGUCCUUAUAGAGCCCAGCCAAGGCGUUCACAGCUGUCCUCCUCGGUAUCUAGCCCAGGUGUUAGUACUUGUCCUCACUGGGCCCAGGCUACGUGUUCACAGUCAUCCCCAUCCAGGUCAGCCCAGGUGUUCACAGCCUCCCUCGUUUGUGUGAGCUCAGCUCUUUAUAGCAACAGUUUUUUAUAGCUGUCAGUAUGAAGGCAAGCCCAGGAGUUCACACUUCUUCUCACUGACAUGAAGCCCAGGGUAAGAGCCAUUUUCAUUGGCCUGAGGCCACCUGUUCAUCGCCAUCUUCAUUAUGUCCAGCCCAGGGUUUCCCAGCUGUCUUUAUCCAGGCCUGAACCGAUGUUCACAGUGGUCCUCAUCUAAACCAGCCACGGAGUUCUCUGUCCUUCACAUGACAGCCAGCCCAGAUGUUCACAGCCGUCCUGAUCGGGCCAGCUAGUUUGUUCACAUGUGUGCUAAUUGGUUCCAGCCACCCUCAUAGAGGCCAUCCCAGUGUCUGAAGACUGACGCUGCCCCAUCGCCUUGGAAGCCUCCUGGACCAUCACAGACGCUUUGGAUAACUCUUACAGUGGAGGGUCGAGUGGAGUGUGGAGUGGCCCACACCCAUGUCAACCAGUGGCUCUGAAUUGUUGAUGGGCAACACCACUAAGGUGCUCACGGCCACUCUGUGUCCUCCCAGUUCCUGCUGAGGAUCCCCUGGAAGGCCUCGCCAGUGAGCUCAGAUGAGGAUGCCCAUGGCAUUUGAAGAUUCCACCGAGGACCCAAUGGAGGAACACC
Chlorocebus sabaeus (green monkey) is the source of this 2599-nucleotide non-coding RNA. Lineage: Eukaryota; Metazoa; Chordata; Mammalia; Primates; Cercopithecidae. The record is from RefSeq and is a predicted model, not a curated record.